Molecule: small nuclear RNA, 316 nt
Filed under: Nannospalax galili (Upper Galilee mountains blind mole rat)
Lineage: Eukaryota; Metazoa; Chordata; Mammalia; Rodentia; Spalacidae
Description: 7SK RNA (ENSNGAG00000003231.1)
Rfam family: 7SK RNA
About the family: 7SK was discovered as an abundant small nuclear RNA in the mid-70s but a possible function has only recently been suggested.
Source: Rfam by way of RNAcentral
AUAUGUGAGAGUGAUCUGGCUUUGACAUCUGUCACCCAUUGUUCAUCAGGGUUGAUACAUCUGAUCUGCUAACUAGGCAGGUGUCCCCUUCCUCUCUCACCAAUCCAUGUACAUCCCUCCCGAAGCUGCAAGCUCCAUCAAAAACAACAACUUUCUCCCAUAAAAAAGGACCAGCCUUUGGUGAAGGGUAUAGCUAUGCUCCCCUGGUAUUGUCCAAUCAAACUCCCAAGUACAUGUGAUUGCACUCAUAGUUAUCUAUGUUAAGGUGUGCAAGUAUACUGUGUGUACAUGUAUUUCGGUGUGUUUACAUGUAUGU